AGAGUUUGAUCCUGGCUCAGAACGAACGCUGGCGGCGUGCCUAACACAUGCAAGUCGAGCGAGAAAGUAGCAAUACGAGUAAAGCGGCGGACGGGUGAGUAACGCGUAGGUAAUCUACCCUUCAGUGGGGAAUAACGUUCCGAAAGGAACGCUAAUGCCGCAUAUGGAUAACGGUCGUUGGACCGUUAUGCAAAGGGGGCUCUCGCAAGAGGCUCUCGCUGAUGGAUGAGCCUGCGUCCCAUUAGGUAGUUGGUGAGGUAACGGCUCACCAAGCCGACGAUGGGUAGCUGGUCUGAGAGGACGACCAGCCACACUGGAACUGACACACGGUCCAGACUCCUACGGGAGGCAGCAGUGGGGAAUAUUGCGCAAUGGAGGAAACUCUGACGCAGCGACGCCGCGUGGGUGAUGAAGGCCUUCGGGUUGUAAAGCCCUGUCGGCUGGGAAAAAGGUGAUCGUGCUAAUACCACGAUUGCUUGAUGGUACCAGCAAAGGAAGCACCGGCUAACUCUGUGCCAGCAGCCGCGGUAAUACAGAGGGUGCAAGCGUUGUUCGGAAUUACUGGGCGUAAAGGGCGUGUAGGCGGUUUAGCAAGUCAGAUGUGAAAUCCCAGGGCUUAACUCUGGAAGUGCAUUUGAAACUGCUAGGCUAGAGUGCAGUAGAGGAUGGCGGAAUACCCAGUGGAGAGGUGAAAUUCGUAGAUAUUGGGUGGAACACCGGUGGCGAAGGCGGCCAUCUGGGCUGUAACUGNNGCUGAGGCGCGAGAGCGUGGGGAGCAAACAGGAUUAGAUACCCUAGUAGUCC
RNAcentral lists this ribosomal RNA (804 nucleotides) under uncultured bacterium. RNAcentral's name for it is "bacterial SSU rRNA". It matches the Rfam family "Bacterial small subunit ribosomal RNA", at positions 8 to 796 of the family's 1533-position model. The record is from RNAcentral.